Molecule: ribosomal RNA, 434 nt
Filed under: uncultured bacterium
Lineage: Bacteria
Description: partial 16S ribosomal RNA
Rfam family: Bacterial small subunit ribosomal RNA
Source: RNAcentral
AGCGAACGCUGGCGGCAGGCCUAACACAUGCAAGUCGAACGAACCUUUCGGGGUUAGUGGCGGACGGGUGAGUAACACGUGGGAACGUGCCUUUAGGUUCGGAAUAACUCAGGGAAACUUGUGCUAAUACCGAAUGUGCCCUUCGGGGGAAAGAUUUAUCGCCUUUAGAGCGGCCCGCGUCUGAUUAGCUAGUUGGUUGAGGUAAUGGCUCACCAAGGCGACGAUCAGUAGCUGGUCUGAGAGGAUGAUCAGCCACAUUGGGACUGAGACACGGCCCAAACUCUUACGGGAGGCAGCAGUGGGGAAUCUUGCGCAAUGGGCGAAAGCCUGACGCAGCCAUGCCGCGUGAAUGAUGAAGGUCUUAGGAUUGUAAAAUUCUUUCACCGGGGACGAUAAUGACGGUACCCGGAGAAGAAGCCCCGGCUAACUUCGUG